RNAcentral lists this ribosomal RNA (254 nucleotides) under uncultured bacterium. RNAcentral describes it as "partial 16S ribosomal RNA". It matches the Rfam family "Bacterial small subunit ribosomal RNA", at positions 524 to 776 of the family's 1533-position model. The record is from RNAcentral.
UACGGGGGGAGCAAGUGUUGUUCGGAUUUACUGGGCGUAAAGGGCGCGUAGGCGGCCAGCACAAGUCAGUUGUGAAAUCUCCGAGCUUAACUCGGAAAGGUCAACUGAUACUGUGCGGCUAGAGUGCGGAAGGGGCAACUGGAAUUCUUGGUGUAGCGGUGAAAUGCGUAGAUAUCUGGAGGAAUACCGGUGGCGAAGGCGGCAUCCUGGACCGGCAUUGACGCUGAGGAGCGAAAGCUAGGGGAGCAAACGGG